UACGUAGGGGGCUAGCGUUGUCCGGAAUCAUUGGGCGUAAAGCGCGUGUAGGCGGUCCGGUAAGUCCGCUGUGAAAGUCGGGGGCUCAACCCUCGAAUGCCGGUGGAUACUGUCGGGCUUGAGUGCGGGAGAGGGAUGUGGAAUUCCAGGUGUAGCGGUGAAAUGCGUAGAUAUCUGGAGGAACACCGGUGGCGAAGGCGGCAUCCUGGACCGGUAUUGACGCUGAGGCGCGAAAGCUAGGGGAGCAAACGGG
RNAcentral lists this ribosomal RNA (253 nucleotides) under uncultured bacterium. RNAcentral's name for it is "partial 16S ribosomal RNA". It matches the Rfam family "Bacterial small subunit ribosomal RNA", at positions 524 to 776 of the family's 1533-position model. The record is from RNAcentral.